This 1522-nucleotide ribosomal RNA is filed under the name uncultured bacterium. RNAcentral's name for it is "16S ribosomal RNA". It matches the Rfam family "Bacterial small subunit ribosomal RNA". The record is from RNAcentral.
UUAGAGUUUGAUCCUGGCUCAGAACGAACGCUGGCGGCGCGUCUUAAACAUGCAAGUCGUACGGGAACCCUGGUGCUUGCAUUGGGGGGAGAGUGGCGAACGGGUGAGUAACACGUGGAUAAUCUGCCUCUGGGUUUGGGAUAACUACUCGAAAGGGUAGCUAAUACCGGAUAAGAUGGUAGGUACACAGGUACCAGUCAUUAAAGGUGGGGACCGCAAGGCCUACCGCCUGGAGAUGAGUCCGCGGCUGAUUAGCUUGUUGGCGGGGUAACGGCCCACCAAGGCGACGAUCAGUAGCCGGCCUGAGAGGGUGAACGGCCACACUGGGACUGAGAUACGGCCCAGACUCCUACGGGAGGCAGCAGUUAAGAAUUUUGCGCAAUGGGCGCAAGCCUGACGCAGCGACGCCGCGUGGACGAUGAAGGUCUUCGGAUUGUAAAGUCCAUUAAGCAGGGAAGAAUAAGCAGCGGGUAAUAUUCGUUGCGAUGACGGUACCUGCCUAAAGCCUCGGCUAACUACGUGCCAGCAGCCGCGGUAAGACGUAUGAGGCAAGCGUUGUUCGGAAUUAUUGGGCGUAAAGGGCGCGUAGGCGGCCGCCUAAGUCAGACGUGAAAUCCCUCGGCUCAACCGGGGAACUGCGUCUGAUACUGGGUGGCUUGAAUCCGGGAGAGGGAUGUGGAAUUCCAGGUGUAGCGGUGAAAUGCGUAGAUAUCUGGAGGAACACCGGUGGCGAAGGCGGCAUCCUGGACCGGCAUUGACGCUGAGGCGCGAAAGUUAAGGGAGCAAACGGGAUUAGAUACCCCGGUAGUCUUAACUGUAAACGAUGGUCACUAGGUGUAGGAGGUAUCGACCCCUUCUGUGCCGAAGCUAACGCGAUAAGUGACCCGCCUGGGGAGUACGGCCGCAAGGCUAAAACUCAAAAGAAUUGACGGGGGCCCGCACAAGCGGUGGAGCAUGUGGUUUAAUUCGAUGCUACGCGAAGAACCUUACCUGGGCUUGAAAUGCUAAGAGUAUCUCUGUGGAAACACGGGGGGACCGUUGAACCGGUGCUUAGCACAGGUGCUGCAUGGCUGUCGUCAGCUCGUGUCGUGAGAUGUUGGGUUAAGUCCCGCAACGAGCGCAACCCCUAUUGCUAGUUGCCCUAAUUUAUUAGGGAUCUCUAGCGAGACUGCCUGUGAUAAACAGGAGGAAGGUGGGGAUGAGGUCAAGUCAGCAUGGCCCUUAUGUCCAGGGCUACACACGUGCUACAAUGGUACCUACAAAGGGCAGCAAAACCGCAAGGUCAAGCAAAUCCCAUAAAAGGUGCCUCAAUUCGGAUUGCAGUCUGCAACUCGACUGCAUGAAGCUGGAAUCGCUAGUAACCGCAGGUGAGGUACACAGCGGUGAAUACGUUCUCGGGCCUUGUACACACCGCCCGUCACACCAUGAGAGUCAGAAACACCCAAAGUCGCUGUUCCAACCUUCGGGAGGAAGGUGCCUAAGGUGGUGCUGAUGAUUGGGGUGAAGUCGUAACAAGGUAACC